AGGUUGAAAUGAGCUUUGUGUACCCAGACUUGCUUACAUCCUUCCUGGGUGUAAACCUCCAGGUGGACCUGCUGGACUUGAAACAGAAAUGUUUAGAGACCAAAGCAAAUCUGGUAAGACAGACCUUUGGAAGUUUCUGGGCUAUGCAGAGGAGGCAAUUUAUGCCGUAAACUGUGUCAUUUCCUCAGUUCUGGAGCUAGUGUUUCUUUUCAUCCGGCUGAUGAAGUUCCUGAGGCUUUUCUUUCCUGUGGCUUCACUAGGCAUUGCACUUGGUGCCACAAGAUCUCUGAAGCUAACGUCCACUAGUCUUAGCACCAUUCUGCAGAGCAGCAAGCUGAGGCUUCAAAGAAGGACCGGAUCUUGCCUGAGGUCAGAGACCAAGCCCUAACCAUCCUGCCCUACCAACUUCCAGCCCACGUUUCAACUUUCAGCAGUGGUUGGGCCACAUUUGGUGUCUUGGACCUGGGUUUCCCAAACAACCCGCAAUCCUCGUACUUCCCAGGAGUUCUCUCAGGGGAAGAACGAACAUAAACACACACCCGACCAGCCUAGUCCAUUUUCCCCUCCCAACUGCAGAGCCUCGGCCCCUAAAGGGGCUGCGAGGUGCCAGGGUCUGAUGUGUGUCUGUGGAAGGGGUUGGGAGGGGAAAGAGUCCCUUUCAGUGCUCGGGUGUGUGUGUGCAACUUCCUGCCAGUGAGGAAACAGUAGGCUCAAAUCAGCCCUGGUUCUCCUUUCCUUGCUCUGGCCUCCCAGGAGGAGCUGGCAGCGAGCCGCAGGCCGCGCUGGCCUCAGCCUGAUUUCCCGGCCAAACGCGGGAGGAGAGAUGCCCUGGACCGUCUUGCUCUUUGCAGCUGGCUCUUUGGCGAUCCCAGCGCCGUCCAUCCUCCUGGUGCCUCCCCACCCCAGUAGCCAAGAGGACCCCAUCCACAUAUCGUGCAUGGCCCCUGGGGACUUCCGGGGGGCAAAUUUCACACUGUACCAAGGGGAGCAGGUGGUGCAGCUCCUGCAGGCCCCCUCAGACCAGCUCGGGGUCACCUUCAACCUGAGUGGCGGCAGCAGGGAGGCUCCAAGGGGACCAUUCCGCUGCCAGUAUGGUGUGCUCGGCGAGCACAGGCAGCCCCAGCUGUCGAACCUCAGCGAGCCUGUGCACGUCUCUUUCCCAGUGCCCACCUGGAUCCUGGCACUCUCGCUGAGCCUGGCUGGAGCCUUCCUCCUCCUCGCUGGGCUGGUGGUUGUUGCCGUGGUCGUCAGGAAAGUUAAAGUAAAACAAUUGCAGAAGAAACGCGCCCGCAGUGUGCCGGGCACUGUGCUCGGAGACUCUGGACCCAGAGCUCACAGGAUCCUAUCAGCAGAUCUGGAAGCAGGCGCUGUGAAUAGUCCCAUUUUACAGAUGAGGCUGAGACUUCCUUACAUCUCUUUACUGCCAGCUGUCAAAAAGUGUUGGGUAAUCUGGCUAGAAAUCCACAGGUGGUGGGGGACCAGGGGGAGGUGAGUGGUGCCCCUGGGGUUGUGCAGUGUAGCCUGUAGGCAGUGGCCCUGGUUCCUGGGCAUCCAUCAACUGGCCCCGGCCUCGGUUUCUCCGCUCUGAGAGAGGGGUGGACAGUGCGCUGCCUGGUGGCUGAGAACCAGCAACCCUGGGGAUCAAAUCCUGACUUCACCUAGUGGUGGGGCUCCUGUAAGAGAAUUUCCAUCUGAGGGGAUUCCAAGAGGAUGCAGGGGUCGGUGGGGAGGAAGGGCCAAGUUUGGGCCUAGGGCUUCCCAGAACAAAACUCCUGCCUGAGACAAGUCAUCACCUUCUCCCAAAUGCCUCUGCAGAGAGCGAGAAUCCUGCUGGACCCAGAUUAACUUCGCCACCACAGACAUGUCCUUCGAUAACACCUUGUUUACCAUCUCGAAAAUGUCUUUAGAAGGAGAUGCAGCCACUCUGGAUUCUCCCUCAGGCUCUACUGUGACACCUGGCAAC
Non-coding RNA from Vicugna pacos (alpaca), 1963 nucleotides. NCBI's taxonomy places the organism in Eukaryota, Metazoa, Chordata, Mammalia, Artiodactyla, Camelidae. The record is from RefSeq and is a predicted model, not a curated record.